AUUGAACGCUGGCGGCAUGCCUUACACAUGCAAGUCGAACGGUAACAGGUCUUCGGUUGCUGACGAGUGGCGCACGGGUGAGUAAUACAACGGAACGUGCCCGAACGUGGGGGACAACGAGGCGAAAGCUUUGCUAAUACCGCUUACGAUCUACGGAUGAAAGCGGGGGGUCUUCGGACCUCGCGCGGACGGACCGGCCGAUGGCAGAUUAGGUAGUUGGUGGGAUAAAGGCUUACCAAGCCGACGAUAUGUAGCUGAUCUGAGAGGAUGAUCCGCCACACUGGAACUGAGACACGGCCCAGACUCCUACGGGAGGCAGCAGUAGGGAAUUUUGGACAAUGGGCGAAAGCCUGAUGCAGCAAUGCCGCGUGCAGGAUGAAGGCCUUCGGAUUGUAAACUGCUUUUAUACGGAACGAAAAACUGCGUACGAAAAAAGAGAGGUCAUGACGGUACCGUAAGAGUAAGCACCGGCUAACUACGUG
This 482-nucleotide ribosomal RNA is filed under the name uncultured bacterium. RNAcentral's name for it is "partial 16S ribosomal RNA". It matches the Rfam family "Bacterial small subunit ribosomal RNA", at positions 30 to 507 of the family's 1533-position model. The record is from RNAcentral.